CAUUGCCUAUAAAGUGCGCAUCAGCUAGAAAGAAAGUCUAAAUUUAAAAUCUACAUUUCGUUGUACUACUCGUAAUACUCGUCCUGAAGCUUUAAGUUCAAGUUUUAUUUUCCAAGCAAUACCGCCUUCGGGCACAUUUUUACAAUAUAUUUUUUAGGAUAUGAUUAUGUCUAAAGUAACUGGUACAGUUAAGUGGUUCAACGAAUCUAAAGGUUUUGGUUUCAUCGCUCAAGAGUCUGGCGCAGACGUAUUUGCACACUUUAGUGCAAUUUCUGGCGACGGUUUCAAAACUCUAGUUGAAGGCCAAAAAGUUGAGUUCACUGUAACUCAAGGUCAAAAAGGUCCUCAAGCUGAGAACAUCGUAGUACUUUAAUUUUUAAUUAAAAUACUCUGAAAAAAAGCAGACAUAGUCUGCUUUUUUUGU
Molecule: regulatory RNA element, 424 nt
Organism: Pseudoalteromonas phenolica
Lineage: Bacteria; Pseudomonadati; Pseudomonadota; Gammaproteobacteria; Alteromonadales; Pseudoalteromonadaceae
Rfam family: cspA thermoregulator
Source: Rfam